Molecule: ribosomal RNA, 603 nt
Filed under: marine sponge bacterium LIQUIDt252
Lineage: Bacteria
Description: partial 16S ribosomal RNA
Rfam family: Bacterial small subunit ribosomal RNA
Source: RNAcentral
GCGGACGGGUGAGUAACGCGUAGGAAUCUACCUNGUAGUGGGGGACAACUUGUGGAAACGCAAGCUAAUACCGCAUACGCCCUAUGGGGGAAAGCGGGGGAUCUUCGGACCUCGCGCUAUUGGAUGAGCCUGCGUAAGAUUAGCUAGUUGGUGAGGUAAAAGCUCACCAAGGCGACGAUCCUUAGCUGGUCUGAGAGGAUGAUCAGCCACACUGGNACUGAGACACGGNCCAGACUCCUACGGGAGGCAGCAGUGGGGAAUAUUGCGCAAUGGGCGAAAGCCUGACGCAGCCAUGCCGCGUGUGUGAAGAAGGCCUUAGGGUUGUAAAGCACUUUCAAUUGGGAAGAAANGUUGNUNGUUAAUAGCCAUNAGCNNUGACAUUACCUUUAGAAGAAGCACCGGCUAACUCCGUGCCAGCAGCCGCGGUAAUACGGAGGGUGCGAGCGUUAAUCGGAAUUACUGGGCGUAAAGCGCGCGUAGGCGGUUAGUUAAGUCGGNUGUGAAAGCCCNGGGCUCAACCUGNGAACUGCAUUNGAUACUGGCCGACUAGAGUNCAAAAGAGGGAGGUAGAAUUCCAUGUGUAGCGGUGAAAUGCGUAGAUAU